RNAcentral lists this ribosomal RNA (492 nucleotides) under uncultured bacterium. RNAcentral's name for it is "partial 16S ribosomal RNA". It matches the Rfam family "Bacterial small subunit ribosomal RNA", at positions 29 to 507 of the family's 1533-position model. The record is from RNAcentral.
AGUGAACGCUGGCGGUAGGCCUAACACAUGCAAGUCGAACGGCAGCACAGUAAGAGCUUGCUCUUACGGGUGGCGAGUGGCGGACGGGUGAGGAAUACAUCGGAAUCUACUUUUUCGUGGGGGAUAACGUAGGGAAACUUACGCUAAUACCGCAUACGACCUACGGGUGAAAGCAGGGGAUCUUCGGACCUUGCGCGAUUGAAUGAGCCGAUGUCGGAUUAGCUAGUUGGCGGGGUAAAGGCCCACCAAGGCGACGAUCCGUAGCUGGUCUGAGAGGAUGAUCAGCCACACUGGAACUGAGACACGGUCCAGACUCCUACGGGGGGCAGCAGUGGGGAAUAUUGGACAAUGGGCGCAAGCCUGAUCCAGCCAUACCGCGUGGGUGAAGAAGGCCUUCGGGUUGUAAAGCCCUUUUGUUGGGAAAGAAAAGCAGCAGGUUAAUACCCCGCUGUUCUGACGGUACCCAAAGAAUAGGCACCGGCUAACUUCGUG